RNAcentral lists this long non-coding RNA (535 nucleotides) under Numida meleagris (helmeted guineafowl). RNAcentral's name for it is "lncRNA (ENSNMEG00000017283.1)". The record is from RNAcentral. Lineage: Eukaryota; Metazoa; Chordata; Aves; Galliformes; Numididae.
AUGCCACUUCUCUGGCAUGUGCUGAUUCAGUGGGCUUCCAGCAUCAGCACUGGGAAACUUCAAACUGAGCCAAUGCCUCUGAAAUUAAUGGGUCUUGUUCCACUGACCGAGGGUGGCCCUGGCUGCACCGUGUGCCUUGUGCAGACCUGCAGACUGAGAAGCACUGAGCUGUAGCCCACAUUUACGCAUCUGAGCUUCAUUGCUUCAGCCAGUCCCGUGACAAAACCAGGUAUUAUGUUCUCCUACAACUAGUGACAGCAAUUUCUUUUUAUCUUGUGCCAGAGUCAUGACUCUUGGACUGUAAGUGAACAUGUUCCUCAAGUUACAGUGAGUGGUCAGAACUGACUACUUGUGUUGGCACCCAGGUAUAUUUAAUGAGUCUCAGAGACUUGUGUUCAUGUAUUGUUUCUCAGAGGCUGAAAUUGAUGUUUAGCAUAUUGUUGACCAAAUUUUCUCUGACACGACUUGGGACAAAUUAGUGUUACUAUUUCAUUUAGAAGCUUCAAGGGCAUGAAUAAAUAACAGGUUUUGCACA